AACGCUGGCGGCGUGCUUAACACAUGCAAGUCGAGCGAUGAAGCACCUUCGGGUGUGAAUUAGCGGCGAACGGGUGAGGAACACGUGAAGAAUCUGCCUUCAACUCUGGGAUAACUCCGGGAAACCGGGGCUAAUACCGGAUAUUUUCCCUGGUGGGCAUCCACUGGGGAAGAAAGAAUUUCGGUCAAGGAUGAGCUCGCGGCCUAUCAGCUAGUUGGUGAGGUAAUGGGCUCACCAAGGCGACGACGGGUAGCCGGCCUGAGAGGGUGACCGGCCACACUGGAACUGAGACACGGUCCAGACUCCUACGGGAGGCAGCAGUGGGGAAUAUUGCACAAUGGGCGAAAGCCUGAUGCAGCAACGCCGCGUAAGGGACGAAGGCCUUCGGGUUGUAAACCUCUUUUAGCAGGGAAGAAGCGAAAGUGACGGUACCUGCAGAAAAAGCACCGGCUAACUACGUG
This 461-nucleotide ribosomal RNA is filed under the name uncultured bacterium. RNAcentral describes it as "bacterial SSU rRNA". It matches the Rfam family "Bacterial small subunit ribosomal RNA", at positions 32 to 507 of the family's 1533-position model. The record is from RNAcentral.